UUGAAAGGGAAACGAUUGAAGUCAGUCAUACCAACGGGAAAUCAACCUCUUGAGCUCGGUCUCGUGGGUUUUGAAGAGUUUCAAAGCCUUCGGAUUCGCGAGAUUGGGAUCUCUUGGUGUACUUUUUCGUACGGUUAGUCAACAUCGGUUUUGUAUGUCAUAAAAUGACUGGAGGAAUGUAGCUUCGAUCUCGUAUUGAAGUGUUAUAGCCUUUGGUAGAUGUGAUGUUUGAGACCGAGGAUUGCAACGGAUACCCUUCAGGGCUAUUCGUCUGAUCUCUGAUACGUUGCCUUGAUGUUGAAAGCUCGCUUAUGAUGCUAGGGUAUUACGGUCAAAAGGUUAGAACGAAUUACAUUCGUUAAGGAUGUUGACGUA
Molecule: ribosomal RNA, 375 nt
Filed under: uncultured Glomeromycotina
Lineage: Eukaryota; Fungi; Glomeromycota
Description: LSU rRNA
Source: RNAcentral